Molecule: ribosomal RNA, 862 nt
Filed under: Descidia repanda
Lineage: Eukaryota; Fungi; Basidiomycota; Agaricomycetes; Auriculariales; Exidiaceae
Description: Exidia repanda partial large subunit ribosomal RNA
Rfam family: Eukaryotic large subunit ribosomal RNA
Source: RNAcentral
GGCGAGUGAAGCGGGAUGAGCUCAAAUUUGAAAUCUGGCGGUCUACGGCCGUCCGAGUUGUAAUCUAUAGAGGUGUUUUCCGUGCCGGACCGUGUACAAGUCCCUUGGAACAGGGCGUCAUAGAGGGUGAGAAUCCCGUCCAUGACACGGACUCCCGGUGCUCUGUGAUACACCUUCAAAGAGUCGAGUUGUUUGGGAAUGCAGCUCAAAAUGGGUGGUAAAUUCCAUCUAAAGCUAAAUACAGGCGAGAGACCGAUAGCGAACAAGUACCGUGAGGGAAAGAUGAAAAGAACUUUGGAAAGAGAGUUAAACAGUACGUGAAAUUGUUGAAAGGGAAACGCUUGGAGUCAGUCGCGUUUGCCGGGACUCAGCCUUGCUUAUGCUUGGUGCACUUCCCGGUGAAUGGGCCAGCAUCGAUUUUGGUCGCCGGAAAAGGGCGGGAGGAAUGUGGCAGCUUGCUGUGUUAUAGCCUCCCGUCGUACACGGUGUCUGGGAUCGAGGACUGCAGCACGCCUUUGGUCGGGGUUCGCCCACGCCACGUGCUUAGGAUGCUGGCGUAAUGGCUUUAAACGACCCGUCUUGAAACACGGACCAAGGAGUCUAACAUGCCUGCGAGUGUUUGGGUGUCAAACCCAGGCGCGUAAUGAAAGUGAAAAGUUGGGACUCUUUAGUGAGGCACCGACGCCCGAUCCUGACGUUCUCUGACGGAUUUGAGGCAGAGCAUGUAUGUUGGGACCCGAAAGAUGGUGAACUAUGCCUGAAUAGGGUGAAGCCAGAGGAAACUCUGGUGGAGGCUCGUAGCGAUUCUGACGUGCAAAUCGAUCGUCAAAUUUGGGUAUAGGGGCGAAAGACUAAUCGAACC